Molecule: ribosomal RNA, 808 nt
Filed under: Clostridioides difficile
Lineage: Bacteria; Bacillati; Bacillota; Clostridia; Peptostreptococcales; Peptostreptococcaceae
Description: partial 23S ribosomal RNA
Rfam family: Bacterial large subunit ribosomal RNA
Source: RNAcentral
AAUCGAAGCAGUGAACUUAAGCCCCAGUAAACGGCGGCCGUAACUAUAACGGUCCUAAGGUAGCGAAAUUCCUUGUCGGGUAAGUUCCGACCCGCACGAAAGGCGUAACGAUUUGGGCACUGUCUCAACAACAGACUCGGUGAAAUUGUAAUUCCGGUGAAGAUGCCGGAUACCUGCGACAGGACGGAAAGACCCCAUGGAGCUUUACUGUAGCUUGACAUUGGGUCUUGGUACUACAUGUACAGGAUAGGUGGGAGGCUUUGAAACCAGGACGCCAGUUUUGGCGGAGCCAUCCUUGGGAUACCACCCUUGUAGUACUGGGACUCUAACCAUAGGCCAUGAAUCUGGUCUUGGGACACUGUCAGGUGGGCAGUUUGACUGGGGCGGUCGCCUCCCAAAAGGUAACGGAGGCGCUCAAAGGUUCUCUCAGUACGGUCGGAAAUCGUACGUAGAGUGUAAAGGCAAAAGAGAGCUUGAUUGCAAGACAUACAGGUCGAGCAAGGAUGAAAAUCGGACUUAGUGAUCCGGUGGUUCUGCGUGGAAGGGCCAUCGCUCAACGGAUAAAAGCUACCCUGGGGAUAACAGGCUUAUCUCCCCCAAGAGUCCACAUCGACGGGGAGGUUUGGCACCUCGAUGUCGGCUCAUCACAUCCUGGGGCUGUAGUAGGUCCCAAGGGUUGGGCUGUUCGCCCAUUAAAGUGGUACGCGAGCUGGGUUCAGAACGUCGUGAGACAGUUCGGUCCCUAUCCGUCGCAGGCGUAGGAAAUUUGAGAAGACCUGUCCUUAGUACGAGAGGACCGGGAUGGACG